This 483-nucleotide ribosomal RNA is filed under the name uncultured bacterium. RNAcentral's name for it is "partial 16S ribosomal RNA". It matches the Rfam family "Bacterial small subunit ribosomal RNA", at positions 29 to 507 of the family's 1533-position model. The record is from RNAcentral.
AUUGAACGCUGGCGGCAGGCCUAACACAUGCAAGUCGAGCGGAUGAAGGGAGCUUGCUCCUGGAUUCAGCGGCGGACGGGUGAGUAAUGCCUAGGAAUCUGCCUGGUAGUGGGGGAUAACGUCCGGAAACGGGCGCUAAUACCGCAUACGUCCUGAGGGAGAAAGUGGGGGAUCUUCGGACCUCACGCUAUCAGAUGAGCCUAGGUCGGAUUAGCUAGUUGGUGGGGUAAAGGCCUACCAAGGCGACGAUCCGUAACUGGUCUGAGAGGAGGAUGAGUCACAGAGGAAGUGAAAGCCAGUCCCGGGCCUGAGGGGAGGCACAGGGGGGGAAUUUAGGAAAAGGGGGGAAAUCCUGAACCAGCCGUGCCGGGGUUAUGAAGAAGUUCUUCGGGUGGUAAACCUCUUUAAGUUGGGGAAAAGGGCGGUAAGUUAAACCCUGGGUGUUUGACGGUAACCAGUAAAAAAAGCCCCGGCAACCUUGUG